This is a long non-coding RNA of Homo sapiens (human), 2338 nucleotides long. Ensembl annotates it as mir-100-let-7a-2-mir-125b-1 cluster host gene. Its record names the gene MIR100HG. Lineage: Eukaryota; Metazoa; Chordata; Mammalia; Primates; Hominidae. The record is from Ensembl.
CUAGGGGAGCCAGUAAAGAUUAAAUGUGCUUCUCAAAGGCAGCCACUUCAUGCUGCUAUGUCGAAAGGGCCAUUAUUAUUAUUAUAUUUUAAUGGUAAAAGAGAAAAGGAGAGAGGUUGAGCGAGCGAGAGAGAAGCUAGGUGUGAUGAUGACAGACUAGCUUUUCUGAGAGGAAAAGGAAAAGGGAAGGGAGAGAAAAAGGAGAGCCUCUGAGCUCAACGGAGGAUUGUGCCUGAGAAGAACCCACAGAGAUACAGUUAAGCUAAUGAUCUCGAGAGGAUAUCGUCCUGGAUAAGGGUGGAGCCUACGCCCAAAAACAAGAUUACCUGAAAGAGAAAAGAAAGGGGGAAAACACACAGAGAUACAGUCGGGGAGGCCACAUGAAGAUGGAGGCAGAGACAGGAGUGAUGAGCCUGCAAGCCAAGGAAUGCCAAGGGCUGCCAGCAGCCAUGAGAAGCUGAGAGACACAGAGAACGAGUCCUCUGCCAGAGCCUCCAGAAGGAACUAACCCUGUCAAUACCUUGAUUUCGGACUUCUGGACUCCAGAACUGUGAGAGAAUAUAUUUCUGUUGUUUUAAGCCAUUCAGUUUGUAGUAAUUGGUUACAAUAGCCAUGGGAAGCUAACAUAGGGUCCUUCAACAAUCAAAGCAAAAAAGAGGACCUAUUAGCACAUGGAGUGCAAAGGAGGAAGGAAUGACUGAGCUGUUUGAAAGUGCAGCGGGAUGUCAUGGGCAACCAGAACUCAGGUCCAAAUUCUGCCAGAACUCUCCCUCUGUGUUAGUCUAUUCUCACACUGCUAAUAAAGACAUACCUGAGACUGGCUGAUUUAUAAAGGAAAGAGGUUCAAUUGACUCACAGUUCUGCAGGGCUGCGGGGGGGACUCAGGAAACUUACAAUCAUGACAAAAGUGGAAGCAAACACAUCCUUCUUCACAUGGCAGCAAGGAGAAGUGCCGAGCCAAAGGAGGAAAAGCCCCUUAUAAAACCAUCAGAUUUCAUGAGAACUCACUCACUAUCAUGAGCACAGCAGCAUGGGGAUAACUGCCCCCACGAUUCAAUUACCUCCCACCAGGUCCCUACCAAGACACGUGGAGAUUAUGGGAAUUACAAUUCAAAAUGAGAUUUGGGUGGGGACACAGCCAAACCAUAUCGGUCUCUUUCCUCUCUGCUUCACUGUCAUUGAAAACUGGCAUUCUUCACUUGGCAGCAAACAUUGCUGCUAACAUCUUUUGAGUUUUUUAUUGUAUGGCUUCAAUCAUCUCAGACAUACUAACUUCCUUUCAUAUUUCCAAAUUAUCUGAAAGAAUCUUACUUUCCUAAUUUGGGUCAUGUCUCACCCUGAACUAACCAACAGAGGCUAAGCUGCCAGGAUCUUAUAAAAUAUGACAGCUCCUAAGGAAACCACUUGAAUGAGUGGAGGUGCUGGGCACCCAGGAGUCCAUCACAUGGGAUCUUUUCUGUCUGUGAUAUGAUAGCCAUUUUUUUAAGGACAACAGUGUGGCAUUUGCAAAGACAUUUGUUUUGUGGACAAGACAUGCAAGUGAAUCUGAGCUCUGCCAUUUACUGGAAGUGUGACAUUAGCAAGUCACUUGGCCUUUCUGAGCUUUCUUAUCUUGUAAAAAAUGAGGAUAGAUUGUUUGAUAAACACUCUACACCUAGAAGGAUCUCAAUAAUGUUUGUUAAUAAUGGUCAUAGAAGUAUAGAACUUAAAUGGACCUUAAAGACAGACAAGAUAACCCUCCUUCCUCCACCUCACAAAAACUCACAAGCUGCAACCCUUCUGAUGUCCACUCCCACACAAACCAGCUUCAGGCCUUUUUCAAGCUUGCUUGGAGAAUACUUCUGAGACUUUCCAAGAUGUGACUGGAGUGAUUUGCACCCGGAUGCCUAGACUCGCCAUCUGCUCAAAGACUGCUCAGAAAGCCCUCCCAUGCAUUCCCCUGCUGCAUACCAGCCCACUCUGCCUGCAGCUGCUGUCUGCAGGACUUCAUAUCUAUGCCACACUGUGUAAAAGCUGUGCUUCAAGAAAUCACAAAAACAUUUUCCUGCACCUACUACACAGCCUGAGUGCGGCAUAAGUUGACCUUGCUUGCUAAGAAAUGGGGCAAGAAAUGCUUUUUUGUGUGUGUCAUGUCUGUUUGUUUUUCAAUUAAGAGAGGAAAGCAUUAGGCAGAUGGAAUGUACAUGUGAGGAUGAGGAGACAGAAAACAAGUAGCCCUUUCCAUCAAGAUAGAGGGUUUUCUGGGGUUGCUGGCUAUUGAAUGUCACUCCUGAUUUCUCUUUCCAAGGCACUGUACCACCAGCCUACUGAGAUUGUGUGGGAGCUUUCAUGGGGGUUG